RNAcentral lists this ribosomal RNA (482 nucleotides) under uncultured bacterium. RNAcentral's name for it is "partial 16S ribosomal RNA". It matches the Rfam family "Bacterial small subunit ribosomal RNA", at positions 30 to 507 of the family's 1533-position model. The record is from RNAcentral.
AUUGAACGCUGGCGGCAUGCUUUACACAUGCAAGUCGAACGGUAACAGGCCGCCAGGUGCUGACGAGUGGCGAACGGGUGAGUAAUGCAUCGGAACGUGCCCAGUCGUGGGGGAUAACUACUCGAAAGAGUAGCUAAUACCGCAUACGAUCUAUGGAUGAAAGCGGGGGACCGUAAGGCCUCGCGCGAUUGGAGCGGCCGAUGUCAGAUUAGGUAGUUGGUGGGGUAAAGGCUCACCAAGCCAACGAUCUGUAGCUGGUCUGAGAGGACCACCAGCCACACUGGGACUGAGACACGGCCCAGACUCCUACGGGAGGCAGCAGUGGGGAAUUUUGGACAAUGGGCGCAAGCCUGAUCCAGCAAUGCCGCGUGCAGGAAGAAGGCCUUCGGGUUGUAAACUGCUUUUGUACGGAACGAAACGGCUCUGGUUAAUACCCGGGGCUAAUGACGGUACCGUAAGAAUAAGCACCGGCUAACUACGUG